Neomonachus schauinslandi (Hawaiian monk seal) is the source of this 146-nucleotide small nuclear RNA. RefSeq annotates it as U4 spliceosomal RNA. The transcript has a single exon. The record is from RefSeq and is a predicted model, not a curated record. Lineage: Eukaryota; Metazoa; Chordata; Mammalia; Carnivora; Phocidae.
AGCUUUGCUCAGUGGCAGUAUCGUAGCCAAUGAGGUUGAUCCGAGGUGCGAUUAAUUGCUAAAAGAAUGGGUGUGGCUGUACUCCAAUAAAAUUUAAUUCAUGGACACUGAAAUUUGAAUUUUAUAUAAUUUUCAUUUGUUGCAAA